Molecule: ribosomal RNA, 405 nt
Filed under: uncultured bacterium
Lineage: Bacteria
Description: partial 16S ribosomal RNA
Rfam family: Bacterial small subunit ribosomal RNA
Source: RNAcentral
GAUGAACGCUGGCGGCGUGCCUAAUACAUGCAAGUCGAGCGAAGCGGGGACGGGUGAGUAACACGUGGAUAACCUCCUAUACGACUGGGAUCACUUCGGGAAACCUGAGCUAAACCCGCUACUUCUAUAUUGCUCCUCUCUGCAUUAGCUAGUUGGUAAGGUAAAGGCUUACCAAGGCAACGCUGCAUAGCCGACCUGAGAGGGUGAUCGGCAACACUGGAAAUUAGACACGGUCCAGACUCCUACGGGAGGAAGCAGUAGGGAAUCUUCCGCAAUGGGCGAAAGCCUGACGGAGCAACGACGCGUGAGUGAUGAAGGGCUUCGGAUCGUAAAACUCUGUUAUUAGGGAAGCGGUACCUAAUCAGAAAGCCACGGCUAACUACGUGCCAGCAGCCGCGGUAAUAC